Dipodomys spectabilis (banner-tailed kangaroo rat) is the source of this 400-nucleotide long non-coding RNA. RefSeq lists it as uncharacterized. The transcript is spliced from 3 exons. NCBI's taxonomy places the organism in Eukaryota, Metazoa, Chordata, Mammalia, Rodentia, Heteromyidae. The record is from RefSeq and is a predicted model, not a curated record.
ACUUUCAGUUUCCGGAAGAGUUGGAAUUAUAAACAUGUGCCACCAUGACUUGUUUCAUGAACUAUUAGAACAUGCAAAAGACUUUAUGAAGCUAGAUAACCAUCUAUUUUAGGAAGACAAAAUAAAUGAACUUCAUUUUUUGUUGAUUCCAAUUUGCACUUAUCAUUGAUGAGCCAUUAAAAACAAACUUUAGUUCCCCUAUCUUUUUAAUCUUUAGAUUUACAUAGAGUACUACAGUAGUGUUGAUUAAUAUAAUUUACCUUAAUGUCAGAAAAACAGUAAAAAAAGCCAAGAAAUUUCCUCAUGGUAGGAAGCCUAACUCCAACACCCAAGCUGUUGUGCUGUCAUGAGAUAGCCAGCCUUACAAAAUAAAUUUAUUUAUUUAUUUAUUUUGGGUCUG